AUUGAACGCUGGCGGCAUGCCUUACACAUGCAAGUCGAACGGUAACGCGGGGCAACCUGGCGACGAGUGGCGAACGGGUGAGUAAUGUAUCGGAACGUGCCCAAUAGUGGGGGAUAGCCCGGCGAAAGCCGGAUUAAUACCGCAUGAGACCUGAGGGUGAAAGCGGGGGAUCGCAAGACCUCGCGCUGUUGGAGCGGCCGAUAUCAGAUUAGGUAGUUGGUGGGGUAAAGGCCUACCAAGCCUGCGAUCUGUAGCUGGUCUGAGAGGAUGACCAGCCACGCUGGGACGGAGACACGGCCCAGACUCCUACGGGAGGCAGCAGUGGGGAAUUUUGGACAAUGGGCGCAAGCCUGAUCCAGCCAUGCCGCGUGCGGGAAGAAGGCCUUCGGGUUGUAAACCGCUUUUGUCAGGGAAGAAAUCUUCUGGGUUAAUACCUCGGGAGGAUGACGGUACCUGAAGAAUAAGCACCGGCUAACUACGUGCCAGCAGCCGCCGUAA
RNAcentral lists this ribosomal RNA (498 nucleotides) under uncultured bacterium. Its description in RNAcentral is "partial 16S ribosomal RNA". It matches the Rfam family "Bacterial small subunit ribosomal RNA", at positions 29 to 523 of the family's 1533-position model. The record is from RNAcentral.